This is a non-coding RNA of Camellia sinensis, 2848 nucleotides long. NCBI's taxonomy places the organism in Eukaryota, Viridiplantae, Streptophyta, Magnoliopsida, Ericales, Theaceae. The record is from RefSeq and is a predicted model, not a curated record.
CCACACCAAACCUCACCCCAUUUCACAUGACCACAGACCACCGCCACCGCCACCGUCUCAGACGGCAACGACCACUGCCGCAGAUUGCCGCCGCCACCGCCACCGCCACCUCUGCAGAUCGCCAUCGCCAUUGCUGCAGAGCACAGGGUUUGCAAACUUGUUUGGUGGCUCUCUUCAGCGUGCUUUAUUCAGCAUUUGUUUAUACUGAAUCAUGCCUGUAAAGCCAGGGACUCCAAUCUCAAAGUUCAUUUUAAGGCAGUUGAUGUAAAGUCUGAACUUGUUUGCAUCCAUGAUUCUGCUAGACCUCUGGUGACCACUGGAGAUGUCAAAAAGGUUUGCUGUCGGGAACUUUGUUCUACACAUCUAGUGCUUUGAAUGAAGUUGUUCUCAGAAAUUAUUUAUUUGAAAAGCAAAGUUUCUCUCCUCAUAAUGUUUUCUCAUAUUAUAGUGCUUUUGUUUGUUCCUUUAGCUUUAUUUUUUGUUCUUGUAUUUUUACUACAUAAUUAAUUGAAGUUCUGUUAAGAAAGAUAAGGGAUCUGAAAUGCUUUUUCUUGUUUUUGAUUUUCUGAGUGCACUGGAUAUGAUUGUCUGGUUUACUUUGUGGAUGAAUGUGUUUGGAGGAUAUUUUGUCAUUAUUGGCCAUACUUUUUCUUCUAUAUAUAUAUUUUGUUUUUCUCCAAAUAUGUUUUUGAUUUGAGCAAGUUGUCACUGUUUUACCAAUAUUUGAAUCAACUACUCAGAUUAGUCAACCUGAAGCUUUACUGGUACUUUCAAAUAAACAUUCACACCAUACAAAUACACACCCUUCUGAUACUGAAUGGGAAUUUUGAAUUAAUUUCUAUCAUUGCCUUGUAUCUUAGGUUCUUUCUCCAGUUCAUUCUAUUUUUAGCUCUACACUUAGCAGCUACAUCCAUGUUUCAUUUUGUGGCAUUUGUCUUCCGCACCGCAGUUGCUUCUACAACAGCUGGUAGUUUGUUUGUAUAGUUUGUCUUAUUUUUUAGUGGCUUCAUCAUCCCAAAAUGUAAGAUUUCGAUCACUCUUCCAAUUUGAUUUUUAGAUGAUUAUUUAAGAAGAUGAACUUAAGCUAAGCUAUCUUGUUGCUUGCAGCCUCUAUGCCAACAUAGUUGAAGUGGGGAUUUCGGGUUGCCCCGUUGACAUAUGGCGAGGUUGGACUUGCUUUGAAUGAAUUUCUAGCUCAAUAGUGUAAGCUUGACUCAGAAAAUGAUACAUUAAUGUGACAAGCUUCAAGGCCUACCAACCUCCUGAUUUGAAGAGUUUGGAAUAUUGAGUCUUUUCGUCUAUUGCAUUACAUUACUGUUACAUUUUGUUUCUUUUUCAAUAAGCAGGACAUUUUUUACAUUUGUUUCUAGAGAACAUCCACCACUUAAAAAUGAUCUUUUAAUCUAAUUCCAUAUUUUUUAUUCAAUGUAGAUUAAUUAAGUCUAAUGCCUCCUUUACAUUGUAGUUAAUUCUGUUGAAAGCCAGCGGACAGGUUAUUUACUCUGGACCAUUGGGUCAGCAUUCAAGCAGUGUCAUAGAAUAUUUUGAGGUUACCUCAGGGGUGCAAAAGAUCAGAAAUAAUUACAAUCCAGCAACAUGGAUGUUAGAGAUCACUUCUAGAUCAGCAGAAGCUCAACUUUGCAUUGAUUUCGCGCAAGUUUAUAAGAACUGUGUCUUGUAUCAAAAUAGCCAACAGAGUGUCUUCAAUCCACUUUGUUCAAUAUUCUCUGCUACGAUCUUCUUGGGCAUAAAUAAUUCCUCAUCAGUUUUACCAUAUGCCACAACGCAGCGAUCUAGAUGUAUGGUUCGUGGGCUUAUGCACUUGCUCAGGUCAUGGUUGAGGUUCUAUAUCUCCUAGUCCACGUGAUUGCAUUUGUGAUCAUUGCAUAUCCAAUGAUUGGGUAUUAUUGGUCAGCUUGUAAGGUUUUUUGGUACUUUUAUGCCAUGUUUUGUACAUUUCUUUACUUCACUUAUCUUGGAAUGCUGUUUGUUACAUUGACACUGACCUUUCCAGUGGCUGCAAUUUUACAAUCAGCCUUCUACACAAUGUUGAGCCUGUUCUCUGGUAUCUGAUUCCUCAACUGGUUUUUUAUUACUUGGGUGAACUCAAUGACUCUUUAUCGUAUGCUCUGGGAGCUGGUCCUCUGUUUGAUGUUUCUAAGGAUUCAGAUUACAUUCAUACCCUUCUUGCUAAAGCAAUUGAUGAAUAUGCCAGUCUCAAGUCAAAGGUGGCAGAGUCAAAUGAUGAAAACAAAAUGGACCCUCAGUUGGAGGCAAUCGUUGAGAGAAUGUUGGAUAAUGUUCUGCCCUAUAGAAAACCAGAGACAGGCUUUGUUACUGUGACCUUCCUAAAUAUAUGGGCCUUCCAGCUCAGUAUUCCCCUUCUAACUCAGCAUUCUUACCUUUUUUCGGUUCGCAAAUUUGAUUAGAACGGCGGCCAUGAACUAUUUAUUGGAUUCAGGAGUUCAAUGGGGGGGAGCACCUGCAGUCAAGGGUGUGCGAGAUGCUGCUGUAGAGUUACUGCCUACACUGGUAGCUGUGCAUGCAGAGCUAAAACUACCCUAUCAAAUUGUGGCUAUUGUUUCCGGUGCUUUGAAUGAUGCAACUGCAAAGAAGUAUGAUUUGGAAGGAUGGUUUCCUGCAUCCAGCACUUACAGAGAACUUGUUUCCUGUUCAAACUGCACUGACUGUCAGUCCAGGAGAUUAGAGAUUCGAUAUGGGCAGAAAAAGGGUAGACUAAUAGUUAUAUUUUUGGAUGGGUGUGUAUAGAAAAUAUUUGGUAGACUACUAGUUAUAUUUUUCGGUUGAUGUACAUGGAUAAAAAUUUUAAACAUAAUAACAAGUAUUU